UACAGAGGAUGCAAGCGUUAAUCGGAAUGACUGGGCGUAAAGCGUGUGUAGGUGGUAGGAUAAGUUAGAUGUGAAAUCCCUGGGCUCAACCUGGGAACUGCAUUUAAGACUAUUCGACUAGAGUACUGUAGAGGAUAGUGGAAUUUCCAGUGUAGCGGUGAAAUGCGUAGAUAUUGGAAGGAACACCAGUGGCGAAGGCGACUAUCUGGAUAGAUACUGACACUGAGACACGAAAGCGUGGGGAGCAAACAGG
This 253-nucleotide ribosomal RNA is filed under the name uncultured bacterium. Its description in RNAcentral is "partial 16S ribosomal RNA". It matches the Rfam family "Bacterial small subunit ribosomal RNA", at positions 524 to 776 of the family's 1533-position model. The record is from RNAcentral.